Molecule: long non-coding RNA, 708 nt
Filed under: Oryza sativa Indica Group (long-grained rice)
Lineage: Eukaryota; Viridiplantae; Streptophyta; Magnoliopsida; Poales; Poaceae
Description: lncRNA OsZS97_01G022100
Source: RNAcentral
UCGCUCCCUCUUUUUUCCUCUCUCUUCCCGUCUUUCUCCGCCUCUCUCCGUCCUCACUUUCUCCGUUUAUUCCUCUCCCUCAACGUCGACGGCCUAUCCACAACAUCGUCGCCGGCCUUCUUUUUCCCUCGAGUUGCCGGCCAGAUCCACGAUGCCAUCACCACGGAGGUCCUCCUAGAGGGCAAAGACAUGGAGGAGGCGGUGGUAUUCGGAGGCGAGCAGCUUGAGGCGGAGAGAGUGGUCGGAGACAGGGAGGCCGAGCGAGCCACGGAUGGAUUCGCGUCGCUCACCAUCUCCUCCUCUCCAUCUCGCCUCCCUCCCGCGAUCCGGCACCGAUGGCGGCGUCGGCGGCGGCCGCGGGUGGAUCCGGCAGCGGUGGCAGCGGAUGAGGAUGGAUCCGGCGGCGGCUCCCUCUGCCCCCUCUCGCCUCCCUCCCACGGCGGAUCUGACGACGGGGACGGCAACCGCCUGUGGAUCUGGCGGCAGCGGCGCCGGCUGAGAGUGGAUCGGGUGGCAGCAGCUCCUCCCGCGGCGGAUUCGAGGGCCGCGGCUCCUCUCACAGUUAUCCGAUGGCUGCUGCUCCCCCUCCCCGGAGUGGCGGCCGGCGGCUGCUUCCCUCCUUGUGUGUUGGCAGCAACUCCCCGCCCCCCUGGCUGCCCCUCACCUCCCCGACGUGGAGCCGACGGUGGUUCGAUUUUUGAUUUGUGA